Molecule: long non-coding RNA, 3384 nt
Organism: Amblyraja radiata (thorny skate)
Lineage: Eukaryota; Metazoa; Chordata; Chondrichthyes; Rajiformes; Rajidae
Exons: 5
Source: RefSeq, a predicted model, not a curated record
UGUGUGUGUGUGUGUGUGUGUGUGUGUGUGUGUGUGUGUGUGUGUGUGUGUGUGUGUCUGUGUCCCUGUGUGUGUGCCUGCGUGUGUUUAAAGGCUCCUUUGAACUGCCUUUGUGCUGAGUCGGCGCUGCAUUUUGCCAAUGCUAGUCACGGUCAUACGAACUUUGUGUUAACCUCUUAUGUCGAAUGAAUCUUUUCAUUUGGAAGCCCAUAAAUCUCAUUCCGUAGCUCCUUUUGUGCGGCACGCUACGACUUAGUAAGCCAAGUGUGCGCCGAACAGCAACUUAAAAAAAAAAUAAAGCAGAGGGAGAGAGACAAAAAAAGUUGCGACCGAUUAAAAAAAGUACAACUUAAAAAAAAAGAGAUUCCAAUGUAAAGUGCGGGACUGGCAACUCGCAAGAGGGACGUGGAAAGGGAACGGAGAGGAAACGAAGCACCACGCACAAUCACAAGUUCGCUUCAUUUGAAUGGGAUUAUAUUCGGACAUUUCAGCGACACAAGUGGCGCACACUGCACGAUCAGCGUGAACUGUACUGGAACUACUCAUAUUGUUCCAUGGUGGAGGUGAGGAGAAUUGACCAGGGAUUUCGGAGCUGAUCUUUAUGCAAAGACCUCGCCUUCCUUGGUCUACAGAUUUCGAUAUUACGGGGGCGCCUUGAAAUACUACACCUUAACUUGUUUGCAUUCACUUCUGGGACCAAAGGAACGUUGUGCUUCACUCCGGAAGUCCCAACACUUGUUAAAAGUUGUCGAAAGCACCAUUGACGCCAGGAACGAAACCUACCCGUGGCUUAGUUCUGCUUCAUAAUCCCUUGGCAUGUGCUGGUGACAUCACACGAUGCCGGUCGCCAGCAACAUCCAGUCUCUUGCAACUGUCAUUUAAUGUCGCAAGCGAAUGAAAAAUGACUAUGAGACUCACUGGCUCCCCGAACUGACCUUGGGUAUUAUUGGAAUGACCUCACAUCGGUUUGACCAGAAGACCUUUGAUAUCUGCAUGAAGAAAAUAUACGAGUGAGAUGCCUUGUCUGCCAAUUGAAAAGGACAAUAAUCGGCGAGAAUAGCACAGAUCUCACGCUAUUCUGCAGCUUAUUUCUAUCAACAUUAAAAUGUGAUCAAUACACUCAAAUGGAAUCUCUUCCCAUUGCUUUCAGAAUGCAAUAUACGUCAUUGCUUUAUUACAUUUGGGGGGGAAAGCUAUAUGUAUGUUAUGUGUCCUCCCUGUCAGUUAGAAAUGAAUCGGAUGGUCGAUAGCGUUUAACUCCUGUCAAAGAGAAUUCUAUUACAGGUUAUGACAGAAUAGCGAGAGGCUGGGGGAACUCGGCGGAAACAAUAAGGGGGAUCCCACGUUCUGAACCGCCCGUUUAGUAAUCAGCCCCAGCGCUCACUAAUGAUCUGAAAAAUAUAGGUAUACAGGAUUCUUUGAUGUAAUCAGCUUUUCUCCACUCAAUCGCGCAGUCUACCCCGUCCCUAAACAAGCUCUAACCACUACCUUGGCCUAAUCAGCUCAGACACUCGAAGCACGUUCCAUGACUAAUACGAUAUCCUCAAAACAAAUUAAUGAGGACUGAUUACGGGAAAGCAGGUCCAUUCCCGGCUCCAGUUUCACCUUCCGCUACGUUCAUCUUCCUCAGUCAGUCUCUUCCUCCCCCCUCUACACAUUUCAUCAAUUCCUUUUACCUCUACCCCCUCUCCACCGGCCCUACUUGCCUACCACUUUAGUCCCCUUCUCCGUGCCUUCACCUAGACUUCUUCUAUCCGCUCCCACUAACACGCACUUGUACCUUUGUCCCUCUCAUGCCCAGAAUAAUUCUCAACCAACGUCGUUUUAAGGGAACUGUUGGACACCCAGAUAUAUAGGCACAAAAGCUGGGGUAACUCAGCGGGUCGGGCAGCGUCUCCGGAUAAAAGGAAUAGGUGACGUUUUGGACCGAGACCUUUGUUCAGACUCGGCAUCUCUGGGGAAAAGGAAUAGAUGACAUUCCUGUCGAGACCCUUCUUCAGAGUGAAAGUCCGUAAAAGGGCCUCGACCCGAACCGUCACAAAUUCCUUUUCUCCAGAGAUGCUGUCUGACGCAUUCUCCAGAGAUGCUGUCUGACCUGCUGAGUUACUGCAGUAUGUUGUGUCUAUCUUCGGUGUAAACCAGCAUCUAUAGUUCAUUCCUAUACGUUUAGAUAUAUGCCCUCAUCAGCUGAUAAUAUUAAGUUGGCGCCCCCUUGUAUGCGGCCAAUAUAGAAUGUCCUGUUACAUUAUGUGCCUGUCUGGUAUAUUUCGCAUUGCUUGACACGAAGGCUGGAGUAACUCAACGGGUCAGGCAGCAUCUCUGGAGAAAAUGGAUGGGUGACAUUUCGGGUCGGGACCUUUACUUCAAUGUGACCCGAAACGUCACCUAUCCUUUUUCUCCAGAGGUGCUGCCUGACCAGAUGAGUUACUCCAGCAUUUUGUGACUAUCUUUAGUAUCAACCAGCAUCUGCAGUUCUUUCUUUCUAUGUUUCACAUUAAGAUGAAUCUGGCCACAAUUAGCAGAAACGCUCUAUCUAACGGAAGUGGCCAGGAGAUAAUGAGUUAGCACAGGCUCAGAUGAUUACUAAGUUAGAGCACCAUUCAGAAAAAUAAAAUUAAUUUUAUUUCAUACUAAAACUAAUCAAAUGAAAAUGGGUGGCAUAAACCACCAUGGAAGACAUUGUAGGAAAAUGCAGCAUCUUAUUCUAGGCUCCUCCUAAGCUACACACUUCCAAGCAAUUUUGAAAUCAAUACCAAUAUUGUCAUGUGCACUUAUGACCAUUGGAGCACAGGAGUUGAGGUUGCAGGUCGGUCAAAAUGAUAAAAUACUUUCUUUCCAAAUGGACACCCGAGACAAUGUGACUGCAGCAUGCUGUAUUAUUUGUGACUGAAACACGGGGAUACAAAUAUUUCAAAGGCUGCAGAUACUGGCAAUAAUAUUUCUAUGAACAAAAUGAUACUUAGCUUUUAUUUUAAUUGAUAAUUUAGCAGCGCGUCGUUGCAUCGUCCGUUGUUCAAUGUUACAUUUUACGGGGAAUGGCAACAUUAACAGCUCUUAAUAUUUCAGAAAGAUAUCAUUUAAGGCAAGCAGCCGUUGUCAUUUUGUAAAAUGUCGCCAAAUUUCUGACUAAAUGGUCACCUAAUCGUUCAUCCGCGGGGAAACCCUAAAAGUUAUUGUCAUUAAAUAAAUACUUGACCCAUAUAUCACCAAUAAACUUUGUAACUGAGCAUUUCUGAGGCUUGUUAAGAAAUGAAUAAUUUGUGAUUUAUAUUAAAAUAGACCCAAUGAGUUGAAUGGAAUACACGGAAGUGACUGAAAGGCUGUUAAAAGAUCUUGUUCUCUGAACGAUGAUUUGCACAAAAUAAAAAACUUGGAAAAAGUUAA